CUCAUAUCCUCAUCGGCUUCUCCCUUCCCUCAGGCCUUCCAUGCCCUCAUCCGCCCAUCCACCCCCGGCGGCUCCAGGAGGAGCACCACAACCGCAGGCACCGGCGGCGGCAUGCCAUCCACACCGCGCUCGCGCUCCACCGGCGGCCCCUUCAGUCCCGAGCCCAACUUGCCGCCGUCGGCCGCGGCGGCCAGGCCGCGCCUCUCCUUCCACCUAGGCUGCUUCCACCGGUCCCGAGAUCCGCCGACAUCAACCCCGUCGUCCAGCACCGGGUGCCUAAGAUCGGCACGCCUCCUACCGAUCGAUCGGACCAGUGCCAUGGCAACGAGCGUGUCCCCCUACCACGACCUUCAACUUGAGUGGCAGAUUCCACCAUGACUUGGCAGCGCUGCUGGUGGAACCAGCGUCCCUAGGCGAGCAAUCGUCCAGAUGGCCGUCACGCUUCCGCCCAACAGGCCGGGUUAUCUGGGAUCAAUUACAACAAGGCACUUGGAUAUUGUUUAUAAAGGUGGCAUAUUUUGUCAAUUUAUAUACUUAAUCUCAAUGUGUUGAUUUAUUCAUGCUAUUUUGAUGAGGAUGGCAUGAAUGCCAGUUCAUGGCUAUGCAAGGCAUCAAUGCUUGAUGAUUGGUCAUACAGUGACGUGUUACUCAUUGGGGCCUUAAUUUGCAACAGAAGUAGAUGCAAUAAGCUCUGAAAACUAAAUUGUAUUUGCUCAUAUGACACGAAGGCAAUGGGAAUUUCUUCGUGGGUGUUGAUCAUGCUUGGCUUUCCCUGAGCUCCAACUAUUCAUGCUACUGCAUAUGAUAUCCAAUAGCUAUAGAUGUUGCCAUCAUUAUGCUAUUAGACAUAAUCUGGAUUACUCCCCUUUGAAAGGGUACAAUAUUUUUUUUAGUUCUUGUAACUUUCUGUAAUGUUGUGACAGAAAUAAAUUGUAAAUUCUCCACUUUGAUUACUACCCAAUUAUGGGUAAGUUUAUGCAAAUUUAAUAUUCAUGUUU
Molecule: long non-coding RNA, 998 nt
Organism: Triticum dicoccoides
Lineage: Eukaryota; Viridiplantae; Streptophyta; Magnoliopsida; Poales; Poaceae
Exons: 3
Source: RefSeq, a predicted model, not a curated record